AUGGCCUCCCAACUAGGCUCACCGUCGCCGUGGAUGGCGCCGGCGAAGUAUGAUCCAGCGGCCACCACCAUCGCUGACAUCAGCGACGACCUCCUCCGCGAGAUCCUCCUCCGCGUCCCCUCCCUCCCAAGCCUCGUCCGUGCCACCCUCGCCUGCCGCGCCUUCCUCCGCGCCGCAAAAACCUCCCCCGACUUCCGAUAUCGGUUCAUGGCGCUCCACCCGCCCCAGGUCCUGGGAGUCUUCGAAGACUCGUUCUGGCAGAGAGGCACCCCUGCCUUCGUCCCCUUCGGAAGCCGCUCCGACCCGGACGCCGCCGCCGCCGUCAGCGGCGCCGAUUUCCUCCUCACCCGCCUCCCGGAAAGCAGCGGCGGCGACCCCGGGUGGGAGAUCAACACCUGCCGCGGCGGCUACCUUGUCCUCCACAACCAGAAAACCAGGCAGCUGGCCACCUACAACCCCCUCACGCAGGCGCUGGACGUCUUCCCCUACCCGGCCCAGGAGGCCAACUGCCAUCCCCGCUACCUUGCGUGCCACAUCAUCUUCUUCAAGGAUGACCCGAUAUACUUCGGUGUGGUCUGUGUGCGCCGCCGCCGGCGCCGGCUCCGGACGCUGGCUCGCUUCUCUCUCUUCUCAUCGGACAGCAGCUGCAGGGAGUGGCAGAGCAUCCCUUGGGUGGACACCUCGACGGGGCAGCUCCCGUCUUGCCCCGACACGCAGAUGAUGGAUGGAUUUGCCUACUGGAAACACAUUGAUCAACCCUAUAUAGUCGUGCUCGACAACUCGACGCUGGAAUUCUCUCGACUGGAUUUGCCGCCGGGCAUGGAAGACAUGCAAUGUGCAGAAUUCCUACUUGGCCAGACCGACGAUGGGUAUCUCUGCAUGGUUUACAUAUAUGAAGACACGCUUGUUGUUUGCGGUUGGGGAGACGCUGGUGAUGGUGUUGACGAACUGAUGACAUACAAGGUUUUCCCACUGAGUACAAUUAUCGAUGCAACUAUGUGUUCGGAAGAGUAUGGUGUGCAGGUUUCGGCGGUCGUUGAUGGAUUCGUAUUCCUGUCUGUUAAGAAUGAUAUGUAUACCGAGGGCAUCCUAUCCUUGUGGGACGCGGAUUUAUCCUAA
This 1119-nucleotide ribosomal RNA is filed under the name Triticum aestivum (bread wheat). Its description in RNAcentral is "partial small subunit ribosomal RNA". Lineage: Eukaryota; Viridiplantae; Streptophyta; Magnoliopsida; Poales; Poaceae. The record is from RNAcentral.